CCUUUGUACACACCGCCCGUCGCUACUACCGAUUGAAUGGCUCAGUGAGGCUUUCGGACCGGCCCAGAGUAGUGGGCAACUACCGCUCAGGGCUGGAAAGUUAUCCAAACUCGGUCAUUUAGAGG
RNAcentral lists this ribosomal RNA (125 nucleotides) under Colletotrichum sp. Its description in RNAcentral is "partial small subunit ribosomal RNA". It matches the Rfam family "Eukaryotic small subunit ribosomal RNA", at positions 1657 to 1779 of the family's 1831-position model. Lineage: Eukaryota; Fungi; Ascomycota; Sordariomycetes; Glomerellales; Glomerellaceae. The record is from RNAcentral.